RNAcentral lists this ribosomal RNA (406 nucleotides) under uncultured bacterium. RNAcentral describes it as "partial 16S ribosomal RNA". It matches the Rfam family "Bacterial small subunit ribosomal RNA", at positions 360 to 773 of the family's 1533-position model. The record is from RNAcentral.
AAUAUUGGACAAUGGGCGAAAGCCUGAUCCAGCCAUGCCGCGUGUGUGAAGAAGGUCUUCGGAUCGUAAAGCUCUGUCCUUGGGGAAGAAGGGCUUCGGCCUUGACGGUACCCAAGAAGAAAGCCCCGGCUAACUACGUGCCAGCAGCCGCGGUAAUACGUCGGGGGCGAGCGUUGUCCGGAAUUACUGGGCGUAAAGGGUGCGUAGGCGGCCCUUUAAGUCAGAUGUGAAAGGCCACGGGUUAACCGUGGAACUGCAUUUGAAGCUGGAGGGCUUGAGUGUCGGAGAGGGUAGUGGAAUUCCCAGUGUAGCGGUGAAAUGCGUAGAUAUUGGGAGGAACACCAGUGGCGAAGGCGACUACCUGGACGAUAACUGACGCUGAGGCACGAAAGCUAGGGGAGCAAAC